Molecule: RNA transcript, 578 nt
Organism: Sapajus apella (tufted capuchin)
Lineage: Eukaryota; Metazoa; Chordata; Mammalia; Primates; Cebidae
Gene name: mitotic-spindle organizing protein 2B pseudogene
Exons: 1
Source: RefSeq, a predicted model, not a curated record
AUGCAAGGCGCAGGGCCAGGGCCGGGGUCGGCAGCCCCGCCGCCGUGGCUGGAGGCGGCCCGGCAGAAGCUGGCGCUGCGGCGGAAGAAGGUGCUGAGCGCCGAGGAGAUGGAGCUUUACGAACUGGCGCAGGCAGCGGGCAGCGCCAUCGACCCCGAUGUGUUUAAGAUCCUGGUGGACCUGCUGAAGCUGAACGUGGCCCCCCUCGCCAUCUUCCAGAUGCUCAAGUCCAUGUGUGCCGGGCAGAGGCUGGCGAGCGAGCCCCAGGACCCUGCGGCCGUGUCUCUGCCCACGUCGAGCAUGCCUGAGACCCGAGGGAGACACAAAGGCAGCACUGCCCUCAGGGGAGCGCUGGCCCUGGCAGAACGCAGCAGCCGCGAAGGAUCCAGCCAGAGGAUGCCGCGCCAGCCCAGCGCUACCAGGCUGCCCAAGGGGGGCGGGCCUGUGAAGAGCCCUACACGUGGCAACACCUAGGAUGGGGCACAGACUUACCAUACCACUGUCCCCAGCAAAGGCUAUGUGUUAUCUCCUUCAGUUGAUAAUAAACCUUUCUGAGAUUUAAAAAAAAAAAAAAAAAA